UCCUACAUGGCACUUUUUAUAGUUCUGAAUUCAGUCUUAGCCAAGACAGUUUGUACCACACCACCCACUCCAAACAACACACUGUCAGUUUAUUCUUGGAUGGCUUUUGAAUUCUAACAGAGUUUUCACAAACAUUUGGACUGAAUUUCUUUUCUUAGGUAAGAAUAAACUAACAAUAAAGAGGCAGAGCACUAAAUAAAGACUCAAGAGUCUCACAAGAUGCAAAGAAAAAUAUCUUCAAGGAAUGGAACCAAGAGUUCUUUUGAAGAUAGUAUGGCAAAGAGGAUGGAAAAAACAGAAGGAUGAACAAAGAAAUAAGAUAUGCCACCAGGUUCCAGAUGCUAAGAUGAUGCCAAUCUGACUUCUAUGAUGACUUCCCUGAGCAGACGACCUUAUCAAUGUGUCCUGGAACCCCACCUCCCUAGAGCCCUGCCCCACUAGGGAAAGAGAGAGAGAGGCUGGGAGUAUGGAUCAACCUGUCAACAUCCAUGUUCAGCGGGGGAAGCAAUUACAGAAGCCAGACCUUCAACCUUCUGCAUCCCACAAUGACCCUGGGUCCAUACACCCAGAGGGAUAAAGAAUAGAAAAGCUAUCAGGGGAGGGUAUGGGAUAGGGAGUUUCGGUGGUGGGAACUGUGUGGAAUUGUACCCCUCUGGAUCUAUGGUCGUGUCAAUGUUUCCAUUUUACAAAUAAAAAGAAAUUAAAUAUAUGUAAGUGAAAUAAAUACGGAAGUUGACUGGAAAGAGGACUGAUUUCUGGGUUCUAAAAGAGCAAAUGGGAUGACCUAGGAAAAGCAGGGUAUACAUAUUCUGUUCCACAUCAUGAAGUUAUUUAAGGAAAAGAAGAUGCUGGAACCCCAGUGUCUUGUGCUUUUUUUUUUUUUUUUUUUUGCUACUUUACAGGAUAUAAUGUAAACCUGAAUUAAGGAAUAAAAAUCUAUGUAAGGUUUCAAGCACCAGUCAGUAGUUGUCUUGUUUGUAUUUCUAAAAUUGCAUAAUUUUCCUGCAAGAAGCUACCCUUGCUCAUUUUCAAAUGCAAGUUAAGUAUAGUGAA
Erinaceus europaeus (western European hedgehog) is the source of this 1053-nucleotide long non-coding RNA. RefSeq lists it as uncharacterized. The record is from RefSeq and is a predicted model, not a curated record. The transcript is spliced from 3 exons. NCBI's taxonomy places the organism in Eukaryota, Metazoa, Chordata, Mammalia, Eulipotyphla, Erinaceidae.